AAUUGUAUAGUCUAUAAAAGAUAUUAAAUUGCAAAUUUAAUGAAAAAGUUAUUUUACAAUUU
Molecule: transfer RNA, 62 nt
Filed under: Setarhynchus sp. AH-2016
Lineage: Eukaryota; Metazoa; Arthropoda; Insecta; Coleoptera; Curculionidae
Description: tRNA-Cys
Source: RNAcentral